Molecule: ribosomal RNA, 404 nt
Filed under: uncultured Treponema sp.
Lineage: Bacteria; Pseudomonadati; Spirochaetota; Spirochaetia; Treponematales; Treponemataceae
Description: bacterial SSU rRNA
Rfam family: Bacterial small subunit ribosomal RNA
Source: RNAcentral
CCUACGGGCGGCAGCAGUGGGGAAUAUUGGACAAUGGGCGAAAGCCUGAUCCAGCAAUGCCGCGUGAGUGAUGAAGGCCUUAGGGUUGUAAAGCUCUUUUACCAGGGAUGAUAAUGACAGUACCUGGAGAAUAAGCUCCGGCUAACUCCGUGCCAGCAGCCGCGGUAAUACGGAGGGAGCUAGCGUUGUUCGGAAUUACUGGGCGUAAAGCGCACGUAGGCGGCGAUUCAAGUCAGAGGUGAAAGCCCGGGGCUCAACCCCGGAACUGCCUUUGAAACUAGAUUGCUAGAAUCCUGGAGAGGUUAGUGGAAUUCCGAGUGUAGAGGUGAAAUUCGUAGAUAUUCGGAAGAACACCAGUGGCGAAGGCGACUAACUGGACAGGUAUUGACGCUGAGGUGCGAAAG